AGCAGUAGCCGCGGGAAAACAGAGGGUGCGAGCGUUAAUCGGAUUUACUGGGCGUAAAGCGUGCGUAGGCGGCUUCUUAAGUCGGAUGUGAAAUCCCUGAGCUUAACUUAGGAAUUGCAUUCGAUACUGGGAAGCUAGAGUAUGGGAGAGGAUGGUAGAAUUCCAGGUGUAGCGGUGAAAUGCGUAGAGAUCUGGAGGAAUACCGAUGGCGAAGGCAGCCAUCUGGCCUAAUACUGACGCUGAGGUACGAAAGCAUGGGGAGCAAACAGGAUUAGAUACCCCCGUAGUCCCUGUCUCUUAUAA
RNAcentral lists this ribosomal RNA (303 nucleotides) under uncultured bacterium. Its description in RNAcentral is "partial 16S ribosomal RNA". It matches the Rfam family "Bacterial small subunit ribosomal RNA", at positions 507 to 809 of the family's 1533-position model. The record is from RNAcentral.